GACGAACGCUGGCGGCGUGCUUAACACAUGCAAGUCGAACGGAAAGGCCCUGCUUUUGUGGGGUGCUCGAGUGGCGAACGGGUGAGUAACACGUGAGUAACCUGCCCUUGACUUUGGGAUAACUUCAGGAAACUGGGGCUAAUACCGGAUAGGAGCUCCUGCUGCAUGGUGGGGGUUGGAAAGUUUCGGCGGUUGGGGAUGGACUCGCGGCUUAUCAGCUUGUUGGUGGGGGAGUGGCUUACCAAGGCUUUGACGGGUAGCCGGCCUGAGAGGGUGACCGGCCACAUUGGGACUGAGGUACGGCCCAGACUCCUACGGGAGGCAGCAGUGGGGAAUAUUGCACAAUGGGCGGAAGCCUGAUGCAGCAACGCCGCGUGCGGGAUGACGGCCUUCGGGUUGUAAACCGCUUUCGCCUGUGACGAAGCGUGAGUGACGGUAAUGGGUAAAGAAGCACCGGCUAACUACGUG
This 468-nucleotide ribosomal RNA is filed under the name uncultured bacterium. RNAcentral describes it as "partial 16S ribosomal RNA". It matches the Rfam family "Bacterial small subunit ribosomal RNA", at positions 28 to 507 of the family's 1533-position model. The record is from RNAcentral.